CUUAAAGGAAUUGACGGGGACCCGCACAAGCGGUGGAUGAUGUGGAUUAAUUCGAUGCAACGCGAAAAACCUUACCUACCCUUGACAUGUCAGGAACCUGCUGAGAGGUGGGGGUGCCCGAAAGGGAACCUGAACACAGGUGCUGCAUGGCUGUCGUCAGCUCGUGUCGUGAGAUGUUGGGUUAAGUCCCGCAACGAGCGCAACCCUUGUCAUUAGUUGCUACGAAAGGGCACUCUAAUGAGACUGCCGGUGACAAACCGGAGGAAGGUGGGGGUGACGUCAAGUCCUCAUGGCCCUUAUGGGUAGGGCUUCACACGUCAUACAAUGGUGCAUACAGAGGGCUGCCAACCCGCGAGGGGGAGCUAAUCCCAGAAAGUGCAUCGUAGUCCGGAUUGUAGUCUGCAACUCGACUACAUGAAGUUGGAAUCGCUAGUAAUCGCGGAUCAGCAUGUCGCGGUGAAUACGUUCCCGGGUCUU
Molecule: ribosomal RNA, 477 nt
Filed under: uncultured Paucimonas sp.
Lineage: Bacteria; Pseudomonadati; Pseudomonadota; Betaproteobacteria; Burkholderiales; Burkholderiaceae
Description: bacterial SSU rRNA
Rfam family: Bacterial small subunit ribosomal RNA
Source: RNAcentral